AUGAACGCUGGCGGCGUGCUUAAUACAUGCAAGUCGAACGAAGACAGUAGCAAUAUUGUCUGAGUGGCGAACGGGUGAGUAACGCGUUGGUGACCUGCCCCGAAGAGAGGGAUAACAGUCCGAAAGGAUUGCUAAUACCCCAUGUGGUCAUUUGGAUUAGAUGCCUUAUGACUAAACGGAUUUAUUCGCUUCGGGAGGGGCCUGCGUCCCAUCAGCUAGUUGGUAAGGUAAUGGCUUACCAAGGCGAUGACGGGUAGGGGACCUGAGAGGGUGGCCCCCCACAAUGGAACUGAAACACGGUCCAUACACCUACGGGUGGCAGCAGUAGGGAAUAUUGGUUAAUCUGGGAAACCGGGAACCAGCAACGCCGCGUGCACGAUGAAGGCCUUCGGGUUGUAAAGUGCUUUUUGAAAGGAUGAGGAAGGACAGUACCUUCAGAAUAAGCUUCGGCUAACUACGU
RNAcentral lists this ribosomal RNA (460 nucleotides) under uncultured bacterium. RNAcentral's name for it is "bacterial SSU rRNA". It matches the Rfam family "Bacterial small subunit ribosomal RNA", at positions 29 to 506 of the family's 1533-position model. The record is from RNAcentral.